Long non-coding RNA from Pseudopipra pipra, 486 nucleotides. RefSeq lists it as uncharacterized. The record is from RefSeq and is a predicted model, not a curated record. NCBI's taxonomy places the organism in Eukaryota, Metazoa, Chordata, Aves, Passeriformes, Pipridae. The transcript is spliced from 3 exons.
UUUGUCUCCCCAUUCCUGGGCUGCAGUGUUGCUGUGUAUACCACCUGCUGGUUAAUAAUGUGAGAGGAGUCAUUCUUUCUGAAGAGAAACUGGCUUUUUGUUAAAAUAUCCAGCACUACUAAUAGAAGUAGCUUCUCUCUGUGUUUGCAGUCUGCCUUCUGUUGUGUUUGCUACAAAAUCGUUGCUCCGACAAUUUGAGAGGCUUCCAGUGGGCAUGUUAUAAUGUUCUGCUUUCUGCAAAGCCUGUCAUCCUCCAAAGAAGAAAGUAGAGAUAACUAAUUGUUAUGUUGAACAACACAUACUAGGAGAAAGAAGAACCUAAUUUAAAUCCCUUCUAUUGGGAAAAGGACUGCUUAUUUUAUGGGAUGCCAGACAAGACGAACCUCAGUGACGUAAAGCAAAUCCAUCAAAUCAACGAUGGCAGCACUUUAGACACAACUGGAGCAGGAUGUACAACAAUGGCCAAUUAUAUAACAUUUAUGCUGA